This 1176-nucleotide ribosomal RNA is filed under the name human gut metagenome. RNAcentral describes it as "bacterial SSU rRNA". It matches the Rfam family "Bacterial small subunit ribosomal RNA", at positions 327 to 1520 of the family's 1533-position model. The record is from RNAcentral.
CGGUCCAGACUCCUACGGGAGGCAGCAGUGAGGAAUAUUGGGCAAUGGAGGCAACUCUGACCCAGCCAUGCCGCGUGAGUGAAGAAGGUUUUCGGAUUGUAAAGCUCUUUCGGAUGUGACGAUGAUGACGGUAGCAUCUAAAGAAGCCCCGGCUAACUUCGUGCCAGCAGCCGCGGUAAUACGAAGGGGGCGAGCGUUGUUCGGAAUUACUGGGCGUAAAGGGUGUGUAGGCGGUUAUGUAAGAUAGCGGUGAAAUCCCGGGGCUUAACCUCGGAAUAGCCGUUAUAACUAUGUAGCUAGAGUUAUGGAGAGGAUAGCGGAAUACCCAGUGUAGCGGUGAAAUGCGUAGAUAUUGGGUAGAACACCGGUGGCGAAGGCGGCUAUCUGGCCAUAUACUGACGCUGAGGCACGAAAGCAUGGGGAUCAAACAGGAUUAGAUACCCUGGUAGUCCAUGCUGUAAACGAUGAAUGCUGGUUGUCGGCUUUAGGGUCGGUGACGAAGUUAACGCGAUAAGCAUUCCGCCUGGGGAGUACGGUCGCAAGAUUAAAACUCAAAGGAAUUGACGGGGACCCGCACAAGCGGUGGAGCAUGUGGUUUAAUUCGAUGCAACGCGAAGAACCUUACCAACUCUUGACAUCCUUAUCGGGGGGCACAGAGAUGAGCCCUUUCAGUUAGGCUGGAUAAGUGACAGAUGCUGCAUGGCUGUCGUCAGCUCGUGUCGUGAGAUGUUGGGUUAAGUCCCGCAACGAGCGCAACCCCUGCUAUCAGUUGCCAGCGAGUAAAGUUGGGCACUCUGAUAGGACUGCCGGUGACAAGCCGGAGGAAGGUGGGGAUGACGUCAAGUCAUCAUGGCUCUUACGAGUUGGGCUACACACGUGCUACAAUGGCGUAAACAGAGGGGAGCGAGACCGCGAGGUUGAGCCAAUCUUAAAAAGUUAUCUCAGUUCGGAUUGUUCUCUGCAACUCGAGAACAUGAAGUUGGAAUCGCUAGUAAUCGCGGAUCAGCAUGCCGCGGUGAAUACGUUCCCGGGUCUUGUACACACCGCCCGUCACGCCAUGGGAGUUGGUUCUGCCUGACGGCGUUGAGGUAACCCGCAAGGGAGCCUGGCGACCACGGUAGGGUCAGCGACUGGGGCGAAGUCGUAACAAGGUAGCCGUAGGGGAACCUGCGGCUG